RNAcentral lists this ribosomal RNA (472 nucleotides) under uncultured Magnetococcus sp. Its description in RNAcentral is "bacterial SSU rRNA". It matches the Rfam family "Bacterial small subunit ribosomal RNA", at positions 79 to 587 of the family's 1533-position model. The record is from RNAcentral. Lineage: Bacteria; Pseudomonadati; Pseudomonadota; Magnetococcia; Magnetococcales; Magnetococcaceae.
UUCGGGCGCCGGUGAGUGGCGAACGGGUGAGUAACACGUGGAGACCUAUCCAUUGGUGGGGGACAACAGCUGGAAACGGCUGCUAAUACCGCAUAAUCCCUACGGGGGAAAGAUUUAUCGCCAUAGGAGGGUUCCGCGUCGGAUUAGCUAGUUGGUGGGGUAACGGCCUACCAAGGCAACGAUCCGUAGCUGGUCUUAGAGGAUGAUCAGCCACACUGGGACUGAGACACGGCCCAGACUCCUACGGGAGGCAGCAGUGGGGAAUAUUGCGCAAUGGAGGAAACUCUGACGCAGCGAUGCCGCGUGGGUGAAGAAGGCCUUAGGGUUGUAAAGCCCUUUCAGUGGGAACGAUGGUGACGGUACCCACAGAAGAAGCCCCGGCUAACUCCGUGCCAGCAGCCGCGGUAAUACGGAGGGGGCGAGCGUUGUUCGGAAUUAUUGGGCGUAAAGCGCGCGUAGGCGGUUUAUUAAG